GAGGGUAUUACUCAAGUGGUAGAGCACAUGUUUAGCAUGCAUGGGGUCCUGGGUUCAAUCCCCAGUAUCUCCU
Molecule: transfer RNA, 73 nt
Filed under: Camelus bactrianus (Bactrian camel)
Lineage: Eukaryota; Metazoa; Chordata; Mammalia; Artiodactyla; Camelidae
Also listed under: 1 other name
Rfam family: tRNA
About the family: Transfer RNA (tRNA) molecules are approximately 80 nucleotides in length.
Source: Rfam by way of RNAcentral